UACGUAGGGGGCAAGCGUUGUCCGGAUUUACUGGGCGUAAAGAGCGUGUAGGCGGCCAAGCAGGUCCGUUGUGAAAACUGGAGGCUUAACCUCCAGACGUCGACGGAAACCGCGUGGCUAGAGUCCGGAAGAGGAGAGUGGAAUUCCUGGUGUAGCGGUGAAAUGCGCAGAUAUCAGGAAGAACACCUAUGGCGAAAGCAGCUCUCUGGGACGGUACUGACGCUGAGACGCGAAAGCGUGGGGAGCGAACAGG
RNAcentral lists this ribosomal RNA (253 nucleotides) under uncultured bacterium. RNAcentral describes it as "partial 16S ribosomal RNA". It matches the Rfam family "Bacterial small subunit ribosomal RNA", at positions 524 to 776 of the family's 1533-position model. The record is from RNAcentral.